GAGAAGGGAAAAGCAAGUUGAUGGUGGGGACCACAGAAGAGAGAGAUGUAUGUGAUAAAGCUGCGGAGACAUGCAUGUGUGUGAGUCUGUCAUGUACACCUCUGUGUGGUCUAUGCCACCUAUCGCUUACACAGAGAGAGAGAGAGAGAGAGAGAGAGAAGGAAUGUAGCUUUCUCGGUCAAAGAAGUUGGAGACAGCUGCCCUUGCAUGCCAGGUAAGACCCACUUAUCUCCUUUUAUUUGCUUUCUAAAGUUCUUAACUCUAUACUUCUCAUGUGGACCUCUUCUUUUCAUCUCAGCCGUCUGUCUUCAUGACAAUAAUAUAUAUGAUAUCGUAAGACGCAAGAGCUAUGUGGUUGGAGGAGCACUGUAUUGCUGUGCAUGCAUCGAAGGGGCCCUGUAUAUAAAUGAAUAAAGUUUGCACCAUUGUAAUUGCACUUGCUCAUUCCCUUUAUUUCUUUAUUGCCAUUCCCCCUCUACAAUUUGUAUGAAGCAAUUACUGUAUUGUUGUUAGAUUUUGCUUAAAUAUAGUAGUAAGAACCUCAGUUUUUUCAAUUACUACUAUUUAUUCCUUUCAUUGUAAUUUCAUUAUACUCUAAGGUUGAAC
This 606-nucleotide long non-coding RNA is filed under the name Jatropha curcas. RNAcentral's name for it is "long non-coding RNA (JCUR_LNC001401)". The record is from RNAcentral. Lineage: Eukaryota; Viridiplantae; Streptophyta; Magnoliopsida; Malpighiales; Euphorbiaceae.